GAUGAACGCUGGCGGCGUGCCUAAUACAUGCAAGUCGAGCGAACGGACGAGAAGCUUGCUUUUCUGAUGUUAGCGGCGGACGGGUGAGUAACACGUGGAUAACCUACCUAUAAGACUGGGAUAACUUCGGGAAACCGGAGCUAAUACCGGAUAAUAUUUUGAACCGCAUGGUUCAAAAGUGAAAGACGGUCUUGCUGUCACUUAUAGAUGGAUCCGCGCUGCAUUAGCUAGUUGGUAAGGUAACGGCUUACCAAGGCAACGAUGCAUAGCCGACCUGAGAGGGUGAUCGGCCACACUGGAACGGAGACACGGUCCAGACUCCUACGGGAGGCAGCAGUAGGGAAUCUUCCGCAAUGGGCGAAAGCCUGACGGAGCAACGCCGCGUGAGUGAUGAAGGUCUUCGGAUCGUAAAACUCUGUUAUUAGGGAAGAACAUAUGUGUAAGUAACUGUGCACAUCUUGACGGUACCUAAUCAGAAAGCCACGGCUAACUACGU
This 496-nucleotide ribosomal RNA is filed under the name uncultured bacterium. RNAcentral's name for it is "partial 16S ribosomal RNA". It matches the Rfam family "Bacterial small subunit ribosomal RNA", at positions 28 to 506 of the family's 1533-position model. The record is from RNAcentral.